GAAACUGACACAGCACUGUAAAGCAAUUAUACUCCAAUUAAAAAUAAAUAAAAUGGAAAAAUUAAUUAAUUAAAACCCAAGAGCCAACUAUUUUCUCUUGAGCUUUCAAUACAGGGGUUCUCACACAGUACUGAAUAGUGGCAUAUUUCCUGAUGAAUGAGACUACCAAAGGUUCAGAUGGACGCUGAAAGCUAAAUGGAAGUGCAUGUUUUCCAGGCUGUAGUAAGCCGACGCCUUCUCCGACUCAGGCACACGGUCAGGUACUCCACCUGUGCAGGCAGCGGGGACUCUUGAGUUUCCAGGCACAGCAUGCAACCUUGGCUCCUCAGCAUCCAGCUUCCAGCCCCAGAUGCACACUGAAGCCGCACACUGAGCUGCACGCUGAGCCGCACACUGGGGCCCCAGGGCACUGCACAAGUUAUGUGUUAUCCCCUAAUAAAUUACUUUAUGUUUACAUGAUUGAGCUAUCCCAUUUCUGUUCCUAAAAACCAUCAAAAGAAAUACGACAGUGGCACCAGUCAACAUUAUAUUUACUUAUUGCAAUCUGUUUAACAAUCAUAGUGGAAUAAAUCUAGAUUUCCUUAAUAUGUAAAUACUCAAAUUUUUCUUUUUGUUUUCAGGAUAUUUUGAGAAUGUUUGUUUUAUAUGUAUUAGUUUUUUAUUUACUUUAACCAUCAAGUAAGUAAUGGUUAAGUAAGUAAUAAAGAUACAAUUUAUUAAAUAACAGAGAAAUUCCCAAAUGCCUGUGAUGAAUUCUUCCACGAUUGCUAAACGGAGAGGUUUUCUUGUAAUAGCAUCUGUCCCAGAGAAUCCUCCAAUGAAGGGUCUCAGCGGAGAGGAGGGGUCCUGGGGGCGAAGGCGGCCGGAGAGACAACCUAGAGUCUUUCUGUCCAGUGCGUGGGGCGUCUGUUGGUGUCUCUCCAGAUCAGGAAGAGGGCGAUGCUCCGGAAGGGUGUCCGUGUUUUGGGCAAUGUGGGCGCAGAAGCCUGCAGGGAGGAGAAGGUUCUUCCGGAUUGAAGUCCUCCUCGUCCGGAGAGAGUUCGCCCAGCCUAGGAUAGCAAGGGAGCUGCCAUUCCUUAGGGUUCACUGAGCGCAGGAGCUGCCGCACCUCUGGUUCCCAGGGCUCCUGCGCGGAAUCCCAGGCUUCGCGCACACAGCGGGGAAAGUGCUCCAUCGCUUCAGCGGGUGAGAAGACAAGUCUUCAGGGACCCCUUCCUUGCGAAUUUAUAGUGUUCUGGGCUCUUAGGCGUCCAACCACAGGCUAUUGGGGUGGGUGGUUGCAAAUUGCUUCAGAAGGUGGGAUCUGAGAAGAUUAAGGGUAAAUUCAGUCAUCUUCGAUGGAGUUAUUAGAAUUUAAGUUGAUUUUGUUGAUUUGAGAGGAUUAAAACGUUCGUUGUUUGUUUAAACGAAAUCGGGGCUCUGUCAAGAAAAGCUAUUUGGGAGGCUACUUUUAGGUUACUAUAUCCAUUAAUUCUCAGGGCCUUUUGCCUAGAAACAGAGUAUCAUUAGAUUUUACCGAGAUGAUCAAAAUGUGGCCAUCUUUGCAUGAAACCACACUGCUGGUCAGACUUUCCCUUUGGUCUUCAAUUCUAAGUUAAAACUGCUUCAGACUUUCAGCCAACAAGUAGAAGUGUCAGGGUCAAGAUCUACAGAUUUAGAUGCAGAGUCUUUGGUAGAAGAUACUCAGCUAGUUGUCUAACCUCUCUUGUCUUCAUAGUCUUACCUGGAUGGUAGCUGAAGUUUAACAUUUUAAAGGCAAAUUUUUUGAUUAAAUUCAUUAACCAAGGUCAGGUAAUUACAUAGUCCCAGGCAAAAUAAUAAGUUGCUCCAUUACAGUUAUUGUGAUUUUCAUCAUCAUUCUUAGUGCUAUAAUCAUGGCUAUUAAACAAGACAUCAGUCAAUAGCAAACUCAAAAUGUUGUCUCUUUCUGUGUUUAAUCGUAGUGGUUUGGUUUUCCCUUCUAGUGUCAGAUGUAUAGUGAAAUUGAAUCUCCUUAUAUCCUUCCUCAGAUGUUUCAGACAUUGUCUUGGCAAACAUGUCAGUGCAUCCAAGCCUAGAUGUCCUUGGUCAGUCAUUUAUCUUCAACUUAACAAAGUCAGUUUAAUUCAAAGCAUUUUAAACAAGCGUGUUUCCACAACCUGCUGUGAGCAAGGAGCU
Molecule: long non-coding RNA, 2157 nt
Organism: Bos grunniens (domestic yak)
Lineage: Eukaryota; Metazoa; Chordata; Mammalia; Artiodactyla; Bovidae
Source: Ensembl